CUAUCUGCAGUCGACGACUCUGGUAUUGAUUGGUGCUUGCAUCAUGAUUUACAUUUGAGUGAGUGGCGAACUGGUGAGUAACACGUGGGAAACCUGCCCAGAAGCGGGGGAUAACACCUGGAAACAGAUGCUAAUACCGCAUAACAACUUGGACCGCAUGGUCCGAGUUUGAAAGAUGGCUUCGGCUAUCACUUUUGGAUGGUCCCGCGGCGUAUUAGCUAGAUGGUGGGGUAACGGCUCACCAUGGCAAUGAUACGUAGCCGACCUGAGAGGGUAAUCGGCCACAUUGGGACUGAGACACGGCCCAAACUCCUACGGGAGGCAGCAGUAGGGAAUCUUCCACAAUGGACGAAAGUCUGAUGGAGCAACGCCGCGUGAGUGAAGAAGGGUUUCGGCUCGUAAAACUCUGUUGUUAAAGAAGAACAUAUCUGAGAGUAACUGUUCAGGUAUUGACGGUAUUUAACCAGAAAGCCACGGCUAACUACGUGCCAG
This 492-nucleotide ribosomal RNA is filed under the name Lactiplantibacillus plantarum. Its description in RNAcentral is "bacterial SSU rRNA". It matches the Rfam family "Bacterial small subunit ribosomal RNA", at positions 51 to 511 of the family's 1533-position model. Lineage: Bacteria; Bacillati; Bacillota; Bacilli; Lactobacillales; Lactobacillaceae. The record is from RNAcentral.